Molecule: ribosomal RNA, 251 nt
Filed under: uncultured prokaryote
Description: partial 16S rRNA
Rfam family: Bacterial small subunit ribosomal RNA
Source: RNAcentral
ACGUAGGUGGCGAGCGUUAUCCGGAUUUACUGGGUGUAAAGGGCGUGUAGGCGGGUGUUCAAGUCGGAUGUGAAAUUCCCGGGCUUAACUCGGGCGGGGCACCCGAAACUGCAGAUCUUGAGUACUGGAGAGGAUAGUGGAAUUCCUAGUGUAGCGGUGAAAUGCGUAGAUAUUAGGAGGAACACCAGUGGCGAAGGCGGCUCUCUAGGCAGUAACUGACGCUGAGGCGCGAAAGCGUGGGGAGCAAACAG